This 508-nucleotide small RNA is filed under the name uncultured Glomus. RNAcentral's name for it is "SSU rRNA". It matches the Rfam family "Eukaryotic small subunit ribosomal RNA", at positions 569 to 1081 of the family's 1831-position model. The record is from RNAcentral. Lineage: Eukaryota; Fungi; Glomeromycota; Glomeromycetes; Glomerales; Glomeraceae.
AGCAGCCGCGGUAAUUCCAGCUCCAAUAGCGUAUAUUAAAGUUGUUGCAGUUAAAAAGCUCGUAGUUGAAUUUCGAGAUCAAAUUGUUGGUCGUGCCUUGGUACGCACUGGCAUUAUUGGUUUCUCCCUUCUGACGAACCAUGAUGUCAUUAAUUUGGUGUCUUGGGGAAUCAGGACUGUUACUUUGAAAAAUUAGAGUGUUUAAAGCAGGCUCACGCUUGAAUACAUUAGCAUGGAAUAAUGAAAUAGGACGUUUGAUUCUAUUUUGUUGGUUUCUAGGAUCGACGUAAUGAUUAAUAGGGAUAGUUGGGGGCAUUAGUAUUCAAUUGUCAGAGGUGAAAUUCUUGGAUUUAUUGAAGACUAACUACUGCGAAAGCAUUUGCCAAGGAUGUUUUCAUUAAUCAAGAACGAAAGUUAGGGGAUCGAAGACGAUCAGAUACCGUCGUAGUCUUAACCAUAAACUAUGCCGACUAGGGAUCGGAUGAUGUUAAUUUUUAAUGACUCAUUC